Molecule: ribosomal RNA, 359 nt
Filed under: uncultured bacterium
Lineage: Bacteria
Description: bacterial SSU rRNA
Rfam family: Bacterial small subunit ribosomal RNA
Source: RNAcentral
AGCGAACGCUGGCGGCAGGCUUAACACAUGCAAGUCGAACGGGCGUAGCAAUACGUCAGUGGCAGACGGGUGAGUAACGCGUGGGAACAUACCUCUUGGUUCGGAACAACACAGGGAAACUUGUGCUAAUACCGGAUAAGCCCUUACGGGGAAAGAUUUAUCGCCGAGAGAUUGGCCCGCGUCUGAUUAGCUAGUUGGUGGGGUAAAGGCCUACCAAGGCGACGAUCAGUAGCUGGUCUGAGAGGAUGAUCAGCCACAUUGGGACUGAGACACGGCCCAAAACUCCUACGGGAGGCAGCAGUGGGGAAUAUUGGACAAUGGGCGCAAGCCUGAUCCAGCCAUGCCGCGUGAGUGAUGAA